CAAACUGCAGCUUCUGCUUCCCCCACUUCACUCUCAAAAACCAGUCUGAAAGAUGCAGAACUUAAUAUCCAGCAUAAACAGAACAGAUGACUGGGGAUACAAACAUCAUAAAGCCACCCCAAGACAGUCAUGCCUUCGGAUCAGGCUUGACCAGCUGUUGAAAGCAGGAAAAGCAGCCACUUGGUGGUUGCCUGCAGAGACAGUUUCCCAGUGGAAGAGUUGGAGAGGAACUGCUCCCACAGCAACCAAUGGCUCUUGAGGUGAAACCUGCCUGGAGUUCAAG
Molecule: long non-coding RNA, 283 nt
Filed under: Cyanistes caeruleus (blue tit)
Lineage: Eukaryota; Metazoa; Chordata; Aves; Passeriformes; Paridae
Description: lncRNA (ENSCCEG00000020023.1)
Source: RNAcentral